RNAcentral lists this ribosomal RNA (397 nucleotides) under uncultured bacterium. RNAcentral's name for it is "partial 16S ribosomal RNA". It matches the Rfam family "Bacterial small subunit ribosomal RNA", at positions 523 to 918 of the family's 1533-position model. The record is from RNAcentral.
AUACGUAGGUGGCAAGCGUUGUCCGGAAUUAUUGGGCGUAAAGCGCGCGCAGGUGGUUCCUUAAGUCUGAUGUGAAAGCCCCCGGCUCAACCGGGGAGGGUCAUUGGAAACUGGGGAACUUGAGUGCAGAAGAGGAUAGUGGAAUUCCAAGUGUAGCGGUGAAAUGCGUAGAGAUUUGGAGGAACACCAGUGGCGAAGGCGACUGUCUGGUUUGUAACUGACACUGAGGCGCGAAAGCGUGGGGAGCAAACAGGAUUAGAUACCCUGGUAGUCCACGCCGUAAACGAUGAGUGCUAAGUGUUGGGGGGUUUCCGCCCCUCAGUGCUGCAGCUAACGCAUUAAGCACUCCGCCUGGGGAGUACGGUCGCAAGACUGAAACUCAAAUGAAUUGACGGGG